This is a long non-coding RNA of Homalodisca vitripennis (glassy-winged sharpshooter), 743 nucleotides long. RefSeq lists it as uncharacterized. The record is from RefSeq and is a predicted model, not a curated record. Lineage: Eukaryota; Metazoa; Arthropoda; Insecta; Hemiptera; Cicadellidae. The transcript has 3 exons.
UUAAAGAGUCCGAGCGCGAUUGUGUUGUGAUUGUUGGGUUGCAGUUAUUAGUGCGGUUACAAACCACACCCCCACUCGUUGAAAGAGGUUGGGUGAGGCUUGUUUUGGUCAAUCGCUGUCGACUUCAACCUGCCAGUGGUCUGGCGACCUUUACCCGACGCCAUGGAAAACAUUCAACUAAAUUUCACAGUGGAGUCACGAGAUUCAAGGCUUCUUUGUACUAGCAGCGUUGUCCGAUCAUCUCAAGAUAAGAUCUUGCCAGGAUGCUGCCUUCUGUUCCUUACUUCCUGAAACUGCUCAUCUUUUACUCCUCCAUGUGAUUGAGAUCUUCAGAGAUCUUCAAUCAAUGACCUGGAAGCUAGCAGCUAUUCUACUUGCUGUGUCAGCUAUUCAUCCUUCAUUUAUUCCCUGAGUAUUUCUUAAUGGUGAACUGGGUAUGGAGUGUAUGGGCCAGCAGGAACGCAUGCAGCAUAGCUGUGCACGAGGCAAAGAAACGGCUGUUAACACUGAAGCAAACAAACAUGUUUAACUUUUUCUUUCUCCCAUUUAAAUUGAUUAUAUGAACACUCCUUUGCACCAGCCUUUGCACCAAUUGUUUCGGAUUAUAAACGCUCUGCUGUAAACUGUCCACCUACCUCUAUUCAUUAACAUCAAUUGAAUGUAGAUUUAAGCAGUAUUACAUAUUAAAUUUUUAGUAUAGAGAAGUAAGAAAAUAAAAUUUUUCUUUAAAUAAUUAAUCAAAA